AAUGCACGAAAGUGUGAUGGAGCGACGCCGCGUGCAGGAAGACGCCUUUCGGGGUGUAAACUGCUUUUAUUAGGGAAGAAUAGUGACGGUACCUAAUGAAUAAGAGGUUGCUAACUACGUGCCAGCAGCAGCGGUAAUACGUAGACCUCAAGCGUUAUCCGGUUUUAUUGGGCGUAAAGCGUCCGCAGGUGGUCAAGUAAGUUAAUUGUCAAAUCCCAAGGCUUAACUUUGGGACUGCAAUUAAAACUGCUCGACUAGAGGUUGGGAGAGGCAAGCGGAACUAUCGGUGUAGUCGUAAUAAGCGCUGAUAUCGAUAGGAACACCAAAGGCGAAGGCAGCUUGCUGGAACAAACCUAACACUCAUGGACGAA
This 371-nucleotide ribosomal RNA is filed under the name uncultured Gammaproteobacteria bacterium. RNAcentral describes it as "bacterial SSU rRNA". It matches the Rfam family "Bacterial small subunit ribosomal RNA", at positions 370 to 757 of the family's 1533-position model. Lineage: Bacteria; Pseudomonadati; Pseudomonadota; Gammaproteobacteria. The record is from RNAcentral.